UGUGGUCUUCUGAACCUGUUCUCCUGCUUGUAGGGGAUCUGGGACAUUGAUGACACAAACUUUGCAUCAGGUGCAGCAUUCCAAUUCCAGUGCCAAAGGACUGCAAGCCUGAAACUCCAGUCCUCCUGCCCAGCGCCACGAGCAGCCCACAGGACCCUGUAAGUAGAAGCGAGUGGUUGAGUAGAGUGGGUUUGGAGGUGACUUUUGCAUCUUUUCAGUCUCCUUGGUCUGAGUCAUCAAGCACGGGGAAUUCUUCCCCGUGAAACCUGAAGCAGAUCUUGCUGGGAGAAGUAACCGGUUUUGGGGGGAACAAAAUUUCCCAAGCAUCUGCACCACCUCUAUCAGGAAACAGCUAGGGCCAUGUCCUGGGCCUCUAGUUCAGGGCAGGAAGGCUGCAC
RNAcentral lists this long non-coding RNA (398 nucleotides) under Fukomys damarensis (Damara mole-rat). RNAcentral's name for it is "lncRNA (ENSFDAG00000024272.1)". The record is from RNAcentral. Lineage: Eukaryota; Metazoa; Chordata; Mammalia; Rodentia; Bathyergidae.